RNAcentral lists this ribosomal RNA (254 nucleotides) under uncultured bacterium. RNAcentral's name for it is "partial 16S ribosomal RNA". It matches the Rfam family "Archaeal small subunit ribosomal RNA", at positions 474 to 727 of the family's 1478-position model. The record is from RNAcentral.
CCCCGGCGCCACAAGUGGUCAUCACGAUUAUUGGGCCUAAAGCGUUCGUAGCCGGUUUGGUAAAUCUCUUGUGAAAUUGUUCGGCUUAACCGGACAGCGUGCAGGAGACACUGCCAGACUCGAGACCGGGAGGCGUCAGAAGUAUUCCAUGGGGACUGGUAAAAUGGGACAAUCCAUGGAAGACUACCGAUGGCGAAGGCAUCUGACGAGAACGGAUCUGACGGUGAGGAACGAAAGCCAGGGGAGCGAACCGG